This 5566-nucleotide long non-coding RNA is filed under the name Ananas comosus (pineapple). RNAcentral describes it as "long non-coding RNA (ACOM_LNC008193)". The record is from RNAcentral. Lineage: Eukaryota; Viridiplantae; Streptophyta; Magnoliopsida; Poales; Bromeliaceae.
GAAACUUGGUGCUCUCCGAUCGCGCCAACGCCUCCGUCUGGCAGUCCUUCGACCACCCCACCGACACGCUCGUCAUCGGCCAGUCGCUGGCCGAGGGCAUGCGUCUCACCGCGAACCUCUCCGCCGCGAAUGACACCCAAGGCCGCCUCUACCUCACCGUCUCCUCUGAUGGCCUCCGUGCCUAUGCCGACUCCCAUCCCCCGCAGCUCUACUAUGCAAAUCUAAUCUGGAGACCUAAGCCAGGAGACAAGAACUCAACCUACGUAACCUUCCAGAAUGGCAGCCUUGCAAUCUUCACUUCAUUAACGGAUCUCAGCAAGGUGAUCUCCAUACCUGCGCCCAGUGCUGCAGAGUCUAUUCAGUUUAUGAGGUUGGAGUCCGACGGGCACUUACGGCUUUACGAAUGGAACUAUGAUGAGGCGGUGAUUGUAGAUGAUGUGAUGGGUAAGGAGAAAUGCGAGUACCCUACUGUAUGCGGUGAUUACGGCGUUUGCUCGGAUGCCGGCCAGUGCAUCUGCCCUUUCACAGCCUACUUUGAGCUAGCCGACAAUUGGCUACCUGAUCUCGGUUGUGCGCCGUCGACUCCUCUGACUUGCCAAUCAAUGCAGGAUCAUGAGCUAUUACCUCUUAACAAUAUUACUUACUUCAAUUACAUCGACGCGCCGACGUUGCAGGGUGUCAGUGAAGAGAGUUGCAAGCAGGCCUGUUUGAAGAACUGUUCUUGCAAGGCUGCUCUGUUUAGGUACGGUAAUAAUUCUUAUUACGGCUCCUGCUACUUGCCCUCAGAACUCUUUUCAUUGCAGACACACGAAUUUGUACAGUAUUACAACUCUUCUGCAUAUAUUAAAGUUCAAAACGUCCCGAAAUCCCCAGGUUCUUCUCCAGCGGAAAGGGCUGCCGUUCCCAGGACAAGUUCCAGAAAAAGAACUCUAUUAGGGAGUGCGCUAGGAGUUGGAUUUUGUUUAAUGUUUCUCGCCAUUUUUCUUGUGCGCCUUGUACGAAAAUGUAAGAAAGAGGAAGAGGAGGAACCAAUUUUCUAUCAAGUACCAGGAAUGCUGAGAAUAUUUUCGUUCAAGGAGCUGAAAGAAGCAACUGGCAACUUCUCCGAGAAGCUCGGAGAGGGAGGAUUCGGAUCCGUUUUCGAGGGCAAAAUAAACGACGUAAAGGUUGCCAUCAAACGCUUGGAUGGUAUAGGUCAAGGUAAGAAAGAGUUCUUCGCCGAGGUCGAGACUAUCGGCAGCAUUCACCACAUCAAUCUCGUUAAAAUGAUCGGAUUCUGCGCAGAGAAGACGCACAGGCUUUUGGUUUACGAGCACAUGUGUCAUGGAUCGCUCGACAAAUGGAUCUUCUACAAAGACCAAGUCAGCCCCCUUGAUUGGCAAACUCGACGAAGAAUUAUCCUGGACAUAGCAAGAGGCCUAUCGUAUCUCCACGAAGAUUGCAGGCAAAAAAUUGCUCAUCUCGACAUCAAGCCGCAAAACAUCCUCCUAGAUGAGAAAUUCAAUGCAAAGGUUUCCGAUUUUGGAUUAGCGAAGCUAAUAGAUAGAGAUCAGAGUGAAGUAGUUACUCGAAUGAGAGGCACGCCGGGGUACUUAGCGCCGGAAUGGUUGACUUCAAUAAUCACCGAGAAGGUCGAUAUCUACAGCUUCGGUAUUGUCGUAACGGAGAUUAUCUGUGGGAGGAAGAACUUAGAUCAUUCCCAACCCGAAGAGAGUAUUCAUUUGAUUACCUUAUUGCAAGAAAAGGCGAAAACAAAUCGGUUGCUCGAUUUAGUUGAUAGUCACAUGAAUGAUUUACAAUUGCACAAGGCAGAAAUAAUUGAAAUGAUGGAGCUCGCAAUGUGGUGCCUGCAGUGUGAUAGCAACAGAAGGCCUUCAAUGUCUACAGUGGUGAAGGUUUUGGAAGGUGCGAUGGGCGUGGAAACGAACCUUGAGUAUAAUUUUGUAGCUACUGGUACUCCAAUACCUAGCAAAGAUGAUUGUGCGGGUUCUUCAUUUGUUCCUCGUGCGUCUCUUUUGUCAGGGCCUAGGUAAAAAUAUAAUUUCUGUAUAUAAGCCUGUAAUUGUACUUGCUGGGUAGUUACAUUUGUAAUCAGAAAACUAAUUUUCUACAUUAUAUGUUAUGUCUUCCAAAAGUAGGCAUCAUGUAACCUCUCAUGCAUAAUGUUAUAUAAAUUUGGCCCAUUUAUCCAUCGUGUUUACCACAGUUUGCUAAGGAAUAGAAGGCAGCCAAUUAAGUUCACUAUUUUAAAAAUAAACAAAAUUUCUUUGAACCUUUCGAAAUAUAAAAUUAAAUGUAUUUAGACACCAUAGUUCUAAAUCAUUAAGGCAAAAUAUUAAGCUCGGAGGUGUAGGCCCAUUUAAAUAAAUAGGAAGAAAGCUUGAACCCCUUGAUCUUUAAAUUAGUUAUAGAGCACUUUACUAUUACACUGUUUUUAUUUGGGCAAAAGGUCAACUGAAGAAAAUUAUGAGCUGCCAAUUUUGUGGAAAAUAUCCCUUUUAAGACAAUUAUAAUGAAGAAAACUUGAGCGAGGAGUAAAAUGACCAGAAUUAUUAGGUCGGGGGAGAUUCUGUAAAAUUUGAUUACCGUAGCAGCAUGUUGGUGGUUAAUCUGGAAGGAAAGAAAUAACGUGAUUUUUAAAAAUCACUUUACUGACCCUCUCUUCGUAGUCGGCCAUAUCAAGGAGUUGGUAAGAGAGUGGAGGGACUUUUGUUGAGCUGAAUAAUCCGUCGAUAAAUUUGAAUUCGUUUUAGAUCUAUCCUAAAAGAAAUGAUCCAACUAAAAGCAAUAUAGAUAAAAAAAAAUGCCAAGUCUAUAGCCCAAAGACGAUUAAAGGAAUAGAAACUUCCAUCCAAGAGUUAAAAUCUUCUUCUCUAGGCUUUUAAAAAAUCAUUUUAAGUAUUUGUAUUAAAAAAAAUAAAAAAUGACAAAAUUAUCGAAGAAAAGACGGCCCUUGUAUAAUAACAUUAUAAGAUCAUAAUUUUAUUUGAGUUACAAGGCUCGUGUUACUCAAUAAGAAAAAUAUACUGCUUCACACAUAAAAAAAAAUUAACACGGGGAUCAUUUUUCUCACAACAGAUCUAAAACAUAUUUAAAUUUACAAAAAAUAUUAAUUUAAUUUUUAAAAAAAACAUAUAUAAAUAAAUAUAUCACAGCAUGUCGGAAGUUUCUUGAUGGAGCUUGGAGCUCUCCACUCAACUAUUGUGAGUCUUGUUGUUGUGCGUGUGGAUUCAACUUCCAUUCAACGUUUCUUCGGGUCAAUGGGAGCAAACCAAAGAAAAAUUAGAGCGCCUAUUUAUUAGGUUGAUGUCGAUGGAUUUUCAAAAAAUAAAAUAAAAUAAAUUAGAGAUUUAUAAAACUUCCUUCAAUAAUAGGCCAUCAAGAAAUAAGCUUUUAUAUAUAUAUAUAUAUAUAUAUAUAUAUAUAUAUAUAUAUAUANNNNNNNNNNNNNNNAUAUAUAUACUUUUGUUUAUUGGCACUAUCUUAAUUUUCAUAUAUUUGAUCUGAAAAUUUUUGAUUAUAUAGGCAUAAAGGCAUCAGGUCCAGGACCAUCCAACCGAGUCCAAAAUUUUAUUAAAAAAUUUAAAGCAAAAAUAUUAGUUAAUUAAAUAUGUUCUAUAAAACAUAAAGACUAGCAUUCAAAAAUUUGUACAAUUUUUUUAUUCCUGAAUCAAACACUACCGAUUUUUAUUUGGCUUAAUUAGGCUAUACCAUGCUGUAUUUUAUAUAUAUUUUUCUCUUUCUAUAUCAUAUAAUUUUUGUAUUUUAAAAGUACCACUCAAUUAUUUUUUUUUCAAUUACUACACUAUAUGUUAUGAACCUAUAAUUUUAUAUAAAAAUUGUUAAAACAUACUUAUUAAAGUGACAAACUAAAUAUUCAACUCAUUUUGGUAUAAAAAAUAAUAAAAUUUAAAAAUUUAAAAAAUCAAAGAUAACUGGAUAAAAAAAUUUAGUGAGUUCAUCAUUGAGAUUAAUUUUAUAUUUUUCUACUAUUUAACUGGUGCCUCUUAAUAAAAUUAUUAGAUUUCGUCUAAAAUAAAAGAUUUAUUAAUUUGUAAUGUAAAAUUGGCAAGAUAAAAAAUUAGUAAUAUCUACGAAAAAAAAAAAUAGGAUAAAAAAUAAAAAUAAAUUUAAAAUAUAGUGUAGAAAUUGACAAACCAUAAUAUUACAAAGCUGUUUGUGGGGAAAAAAAUGUAUAAUACAAUAAAUAAAAAAUAAUACUAAAGUAUAAUAGAAUGGAGUGUAAUUAAGCCUUCUAAACUAUAGAUCUUAAACCCUAAAAAUGUAAGGUGCUGAUGUAUCAGCCAUAUUAUUUAGUGGAUAUAAGUAGGAGACCAAAAGAUUUUUUUUUUUUUUUGGGAAAACUUCAAAUACCAUUUCUGUGAUUUUAUACUUUCUCACUUUAAUAUUAUGUGAUUUAAAGUGUAUUAUAUUUUUUUAUUUUUGUUAUUUUCUUUACUAUUUUUUUUUAAAUCGGUGAUAAAAUAAAUAUUCGAUAACCAUAGAUAGGAUAUGUAAAGUUUUUUUUGUACAUUAUUUAACGAAAAAUUAAUAAAGGAGGUAACAAAAAAAAAAAUUCAAAAGGUACUAAAUUAAUAUACUUUAGAUUAUAAAAUAUUAAAGCGCAAAAUGCAGGAGUGAUAUUUGACCUAUUUAUUUUUUCUAAAUAUUUGACCAUUCCUCACUUGGAUUUUUUGACCAAGGAUGCGGACCUCCAAGUUCCACGAAGCUAAAAUAAAGAAGGAAAAAUAUUAUGCGGGGAGCGUCCUUACUCCUUAGAAGGGACACGAUCGAUGGCGCCCAUGCGACUUCCCCAUGGCGUCCUCCUCCUCCUCCUCCUCCUCCUCUCCGCCUUGUUCUUUCCCCAGCUGUGUACCCUCCGCGCCGAGAAGCCGCCCUUCUGGUACAGGACAACCAAUCUCUCCACCACCUGGGUCAACGACGAUUCCCUUCCCCAUGCCGACACCGUAAGUAAUAUGGGCGCGGACUCCAAUAUCGGAGUUCGCGCCAUACUUCUCCGCGCCAACCCGGCCGGAUUCGGCCCCUCCUUCGCCUGCGGCUUCUUCUGCACCGCCGAUUGCGACGCCUUCCUGUUCUCCGUAUUCAUCGUCUACAGCGACGGCGGCGGCGGCGGCAACAUCACCAACCCCGCCCCCGGCCCCCCGCACGUCGUCUGGGCCGCCAACCGCGGCCGCCCCGUCGGCCAGAACGCCACGCUCCAGCUCGCCGAAACCGGCGGCGGCUUGAUUCUCCGCGACGCCGACGGCACUCUAGUGUGGUCCGCAAACACGUCGAGCAAGAACGUGGCAGGUCUAAGCCUGACGGAAGCGGGAAACUUGGUGCUCUCCGAUCGCGCCAACGCCUCCGUCUGGCAGUCCUUCGACCACCCCACCGACACGCUCGUCAUCGGCCAGUCGCUGGCCGAGGGCAUGCGUCUCACCGCGAACCUCUCCGCCGCGAAUGACACCCCAAGCGAAUCACUGUACCUCGCCGUCUUCCCCGACGGUCUCCGCGCCUACAUCGACUCCGAUCCCCCGCAGCUCUACUAUUCAAAGGUGAUAACCCC